GGGAAGUGAGAUGGGGACUACGGGGUCUCCAGUGGUUCAAACCCUGUCGUUCCUCCGCGUUACAGAGCUACAGCGGUCUCCGGGUGGCGAAGUGCGGAGACGGGGUUUUGGAGACGGUGGAUGGAGGAGGGGGAGGGAAAGCUGCCAACUUUGGAUACCAACCCCGUACACCCACCGAAGGGGAUGUCCCACUUUUUCCAGCGCUGGGAGCAAAAAGAUAACAGUGAGCGAGGUUGAAAAGGAGUCUACUCCUAUGUAAAUCUUCUGCAGGUUGUGCAGUGGACUUCACCUAGUCUCCCAUCUCCAGCUAAUUUGGCCAAGAAUAGUCACCUGGCGCAAGGUGGGGAGGGAGCUCUCAAUUGGCCAGCAACUUCUGACGUGUGACCUGACUGAACAAUGAGAGGCUCGAGUGAAAUUACCAGCUGGUAGUAGGACAGAGGAUAUAGAUACAUGGAAUGGAGCUGAGCCAAAUUAAUGACAAAGGACUAGACAAGAAUGACUGUUGAUGAUCACCUAUGCUGAGAUCACAAAGCUGCCCCGAGUCCAGAAGCAGGUUCACUGAGGGAGGCUCAACCAUGUUACCAAUCUUGUUUGAGAUUAAUGUUCCUUGUUGUAAACCUCAAGUCUGUUUCUUGCAAUCAAACCAUUCUAAAUUGAAACAACUACUUAGAAAGUGUUUCUAUGGGUUCAGUGGGACAUUUCAACCAAAUGAAAUAUGAUAAUGAUCUUAAAUGAACUAACAAUAGUGUUGCAGAAAUAAAAUACAAAUACCAGAAAGAUAGC
Molecule: long non-coding RNA, 783 nt
Organism: Homo sapiens (human)
Lineage: Eukaryota; Metazoa; Chordata; Mammalia; Primates; Hominidae
Gene: VIRMA-DT
Product: VIRMA divergent transcript
Source: Ensembl